This 526-nucleotide ribosomal RNA is filed under the name uncultured bacterium. RNAcentral's name for it is "bacterial SSU rRNA". It matches the Rfam family "Bacterial small subunit ribosomal RNA", at positions 355 to 896 of the family's 1533-position model. The record is from RNAcentral.
UAGGGAAUAUUGCGCAAUGGGCGAAAGCCUGACGCAGCAACGCCGCGUGCACGAUGAAGGUCUUCGGAUCGUAAAGUGCUUUUAUGAGGGAAGAGAACGGACUGUACCUCAUGAAUAAGGAUCGGCUAACUACGUGCCAGCAGCCGCGGUAACACGUAGGAUCCAAGCGUUAUCCGGAUUUACUGGGCGUAAAGCGCGUGCAGGUGGUUUGGUAAGUUGGAUGUUAAAUCUCCCGGCUCAACUGGGAGCUGUCGUUCAAAACUGCCAAACUAGAGGACGGUAGAGGGAGGUGGAAUUCAGGGUGUAGUGGUGAAAUGCGUAGAUAUCCUGAGGAACACCAGUGGCGAAGGCGGCCUCCUGGCCCGCUCCUGACACUAAGACGCGAAAGUUAGGGUAGCGAACGGGAUUAGACACCCCGGUAGUCCUAGCCGUAAACGAUGUGAACUUGGUGUUGGUGGGGUAAAACCCAUCAGUGCCGAAGCUAACGCGAUAAGUUCACCGCCUGGGGACUACGGUCGCAAGAUUA